GAGUUUGAUUAUGGCUCAGAGCGAACGCUGGCGGCGGGCCUAACACAUGCAAGUCGAACGGGCACCUUCGGGUGUCAGUGGCGCACGGGUGCGUAACACGUGGAUAACCAACCCUCUGGUUCGGGACAACGCCGGGAAACUGGCGCUAAUACCGGGUGUGUCUGCGAGGUCGUCAGGCUUCGCAGAGAAAGGCUCGCAAGGGUCGCCAGGGGACGGGUCCGCGUCCCAUCAGCUUGUUGGUGAGGUAAUGGCUCACCAAGGCGACGACGGCUAGGGGACCUGAGAGGGUGACCCCCCACACUGGGACUGAGACACGGCCCAGACUCCUACGGGAGGCAGCAGUGAGGAAUAUUGCUCAAUGGGCGCAAGCCUGAAGCAGCGACGCCGCGUGGAUGAAGAAGGUUUUCGGACUGUAAAAUCCUUUUCUGUGUGACGAGAGUGGACGGUAGCACAGGAAUAAGUCUCGGCUAACUACGUGCCAGCAGCCGCGGUAAU
Molecule: ribosomal RNA, 495 nt
Filed under: uncultured delta proteobacterium
Lineage: Bacteria; Deltaproteobacteria
Description: bacterial SSU rRNA
Rfam family: Bacterial small subunit ribosomal RNA
Source: RNAcentral